Long non-coding RNA from Capsicum annuum, 788 nucleotides. RefSeq lists it as uncharacterized. The transcript has 3 exons. The record is from RefSeq and is a predicted model, not a curated record. NCBI's taxonomy places the organism in Eukaryota, Viridiplantae, Streptophyta, Magnoliopsida, Solanales, Solanaceae.
CCCAAUUGCUUCCCUCCAUUAUUUUCCUCCAUUUACUUUUCAUAAUUUGAAUUUGGGUUAAAUUCUAAUUUCUUAAAAGAAACCCUACAUUAAAAUUAGUGUCCUGUUAGCUUUCGUUCACAAUAAGCGAUCUAAUUUCUCAUCUUUCUCUCUGAAUCUCCCUGCUGUCGAAGCUCCUAGGUCACCCUACAUUCUCUUUGGAGUGAAGUGUCCUCUCGUAUACAGCAAGGAGUCCUCAAAGAGUUUAUGUGACAAUGAGCUUACGAAAAUAUUUACCUUAAGAAAAUGGGUUCAAGGUGACCUGUAGACUUGCUUGGAGGGAUAUUUAUUGAUUUGGUGGCCGCGUUAUCACUUGGGUUUCUAGCCUCAACAUCAUGAAUAUUUAACGAAUGACGAUUUGGAUGGCUUGGGUCAUAUUAUUGGGAUCAAAUUAUUAUAUAUUGGCAGUCUCUAGAGUUUCAAAAGAUGAGCGUGCAGACAAAGGCAGCUCGAAAGUCCAAGAAGGGUGGCUCACUGCACAUAUAUGGUUCGACGUCUAUAGGGACAACUAAGAGGAAAUUCGUAAUUGAUGAUGAAAAGGAUGAGCAUGAUGGAGACGAUGAAAUGGAGUAUUAGGUGGUGCUGUUAUUUUUGUUUGGAAUUCUGUUAGUGAGUGUUGGAAGAACUUGUUUUGCCACUUGUUUGCAUACUUUUUAUACUUGUUUGCAUAUUGUUUAAGUUGGAUGAAUAUGUAUGAAGUUUGGUUGCUUAAUUUUAAUGUUUGAAUUGUUUCAGAAGCAUUUUUUUUA